Molecule: long non-coding RNA, 1012 nt
Filed under: Cyanistes caeruleus (blue tit)
Lineage: Eukaryota; Metazoa; Chordata; Aves; Passeriformes; Paridae
Description: lncRNA (ENSCCEG00000009625.1)
Source: RNAcentral
AACAAUUUUUCUACCAAAUUCCAUCAAGAGUUAUUUCUGAGCUCAGACAGAGAGGAACAUUCAGCUCUCCAAAGUGACCACAGAGAGGUUUGUCCUGUCCUUUAAUCUCCAAACACAAUGGUAAAGUGAUUGCCAGUGAUUUUAUUCUAUUCUGUGCCCAGGACAAUGGGACUGUUCAGCUGUCUGAAAGAGCUAAUACAUACUUUAUGAUGAGAAAGGAACAACCAAAGCUACCAAGGAAAGCAAAUCACUUCUGCUCUGGGAGGAGCUCACACAGUUUGCUGAGGGUAUUGAAGAUCACGCUCCGCUGCACACAGAGGCUUCAAGACUUCAGUGAGCUUAUCCUGCCCAUCACUUGUGACUGGAUCAAAUUGAGCCUGGGUGAUAAUGAACCAAGGAGUAAUAAUAAAGCCUUACUUGAUUCAUUUAAAUUUUGGAGGAAAGUGUGCAGAAUAAUGUGUUUUAGCUGUGCUAAUGAAAUUUAGCCAGCCAUUAUCAUCCUGCAUCAAUGUGCACAGCUCUGAGGAUCUGAGAAUCUCUGUGUGAAUUAAUGAUGCAUCUCUAUAUCUGCAUGAAAAAGAUGGACGGCUGUGACAACGUUUACAUCUGAUACUAUUAGAGCCUCUCCAAUGAUAAUCAUUAACAAGUCCAUUAAUGAGAGCAUAUUUCCCUGAGGCCCUAUGGCCAUUCAACAUUGUAAUCUAAAUCUAUACUCUCCAGAAACUCUAUUAGAAAGCAAUGAAGUAAGUCCCUGAACUAUACAAAGGUUAUCAGCCACAUUAUCUCACUGAGCAAAAAAAGAUGAGGGAGGCUUCCAUAAGUACUGGCAGUUUAGAAGAUGGAAAUGUACAACAGCAUUACAAAUACAUUGGCUGAAAGCUGCAUUCCAGUGGCUUCAAGCAACUCGUACUCAAACCCUUAACUUGCAGAAGAGUGUAUUCAACUGGAAUAACAAAGUCCAGAAACUUAUCAGACUAAUAAAUAUAAUCACCUAAUAAUAAUUUUAAAACCU